GUCUAUGGCCAUGCCACCCUGAACAAGCCCGAUCCCGUCUGACCUUGGAAGCUAAGCAGGGUCAGGCCUGGUUAGUACUUGGAUGGGAGACCGCCUAGGAAGACUAGGUGUUGUAGGCA
This 119-nucleotide ribosomal RNA is filed under the name Pteropus alecto (black flying fox). Lineage: Eukaryota; Metazoa; Chordata; Mammalia; Chiroptera; Pteropodidae. The record is from RNAcentral.